Molecule: ribosomal RNA, 497 nt
Filed under: uncultured bacterium
Lineage: Bacteria
Description: partial 16S ribosomal RNA
Rfam family: Bacterial small subunit ribosomal RNA
Source: RNAcentral
GACGAACGCUGGCGGCGUGCCUAAUACAUGCAAGUUGAGCGCUGAAGGUUGGUACUUGUACCGACUGGAUGAGCAGCGAACGGGUGAGUAACGCGUGGGGAAUCUGCCUUUGAGCGGGGGACAACACUUGGAAACGAAUGCUAAUACCGCAUAAAAACUUUAAACACAAGUUUUAAGUUUGAAAGAUGCAAUUGCAUCACUCAAAGAUGAUCCCGCGUUGUAUUAGCUAGUUGGUGAGGUAAAGGCUCACCAAGGCGAUGAUACAUAGCCGACCUGAGAGGGUGAUCGGCCACAUUGGGACUGAGACACGGCCCAAACUCCUACGGGAGGCAGCAGUAGGGAAUCUUCGGCAAUGGACGAAAGUCUGACCGAGCAACGCCGCGUGAGUGAAGAAGGUUUUCGGAUCGUAAAACUCUGUUGGUAGAGAAGAACGUUGGUGAGAGUGGAAAGCUCAUCAAGUGACGGUAACUACCCAGAAAGGGACGGCUAACUACGUG